GAUGAACGCUAGCUACAGGCUUAACACAUGCAAGUCGAGGGGCAGCAUGACGAUAGCUUGCUAUUGUUGAUGGCGACCGGCGCACGGGUGAGUAACGCGUAUCCAACCCGCCCUUGUCCACCGGAUAACCCGUCGAAAGGCGGACUAACACGGUAUGCAGUCCACAGCAGACAUCUAACGUGGACGAACUGUGAAGGAGAAGGAUGGGGAUGCGUCUGAUUAGCUUGUUGGCGGGGUAACGGCCCACCAAGGCGACGAUCAGUAGGGGUUCUGAGAGGAAGGUCCCCCACAUUGGAACUGAGACACGGUCCAAACUCCUACGGGAGGCAGCAGUGAGGAAUAUUGGUCAAUGGGCGAGAGCCUGAACCGGCCAAGUAGCGUGCAGGAAGACAGCCCUAUGGGUUGUAAACUGCUUUUAUACGGGGAUAAAGUGAGUCACGUGUGGCUUAUUGCAGGUACCGUAUGAAUAAGGACCGGCUAAUUCCGUGCCAGCAGCCGCCGUAA
RNAcentral lists this ribosomal RNA (504 nucleotides) under uncultured bacterium. RNAcentral's name for it is "partial 16S ribosomal RNA". It matches the Rfam family "Bacterial small subunit ribosomal RNA", at positions 28 to 523 of the family's 1533-position model. The record is from RNAcentral.